AAAUAGAACUUUGCAGAGAGAGUUAACAGGGCGUGAAACCGUUAAUUGGCAAACGAAUCGGAGCCACGAAGUCGUUUCGAUGCUAGUUGGGCCAAGUUCAGUUUGGGAAUCAAAAAAUUCUCAGGCGUAUUCCUGGUGCAACCAUUGUAAGCGUACACUGCAACCAGUUAGACAGUUGAAAAUGGAACCAGUCAUUAGAGUUAGUAGUAGUGAGGUGUCUCUUCGGGGUCAUCUUAUUGCUGGGCGUCUAGUGGGUGAACUAUUUUCAAGUACUGACUGGCACAAUGAAAAUCACUCUAUGAGUGUUGUAUACAAUGCGGUUUAGUAUACUAGUGUCUACAUGCUGGACCAUGGGGUUUAAGCUCGAUAUCUUUGAAUUUGGACUUGCUAUCUACUAAAGGGCAACUUUUGGUGUUAGUUUAGUUUCCAUCUAAUCGGGUGUUGACUUGAUCUUAUGUUGUUCUAGUAUGAAACGAUUGGGUGUUAGUAUAACUAGAUUCGCCGUUGAUUGGCAGUGAGUAGGUCGGCUUUCCGAACGACCCGUCUUGAAACACGGACCAAGGAGUCUAAUUAGGCAUCGAGUCGAUCGGUCUUGAAUAGGCCAGACUUGGGGAUUCCCUCAGAUUGAAGGCGUAGAGACAUGUGAUCAUGGGGACAAUACCAGUCCUUAUGCGCAACAUGUGCCUGUUCGUAUAACAAUGUUGUAAAAUUGUUGGCGGAGCAAAGAGAUGCUUGAUUGGUACCCGAAAGAUGGUGAGCUUGGGCAAGUUGAAGCCAGAGGAAACUCUGGUGGAGGACUGUAGCGAUUCUGACGUGCAAAUCGAUCGUCAGACCUGAGUAUAGGGGCGAAAGACUAAUCGAACCAUC
This 867-nucleotide ribosomal RNA is filed under the name Phyllocoptes sp. L7 2. Its description in RNAcentral is "partial large subunit ribosomal RNA". It matches the Rfam family "Eukaryotic large subunit ribosomal RNA", at positions 366 to 944 of the family's 3401-position model. Lineage: Eukaryota; Metazoa; Arthropoda; Arachnida; Trombidiformes; Eriophyidae. The record is from RNAcentral.